GAAGGUAGCAAGCAGCAACCAGCGAAGGAAACAGAGAGCAGCAGCUUAUUAGUUCUUUUUUUUUCCCCUUUUUUCUUCGUAUGAAUCCUAGUUUUAUUUCUUUUAAUUGUUCUGGAGUUAUUUUUAAUUUCUUGAAUCAAGUAGUAAUAACCACUUUUUCAUUUUUAUUUGUUUUUUAUGUAUUUUCUCCCUUUUAGUUUAUAAACCCUAACUUUCUAAUUUUAAUUCCUCUUGAUUCUGGACUUAAUUAAUUCAAUCAAAACAUAGUUUUUAUUGUUAAUUUUCUCCAUAUAUUACUUUCAUUAGCUUUUGUUGGUGAUUACUUCAAUCAUUCAAGCCAUAACCAUAAAGGUUGAGAGUUGGAAUUUUGUAGAUUUUUUUCACUAGUUAUCCAAUCUCUCAUAUUUUAUGGGUAACAUCUAAUGUCAUUGUAAUUUAUUAAUUUUAGUUAGUUUACGAUAUUUCUCAAUUGCUCUUGAUUAUUUGCUCUUGUCUUGUUCGUUUUUAUAUUUUUGAUGUUUGAAUGCUUAGAAUACAUGUUGUUAAUGGUUUUGAUGAUUAUGAUUAUGAGUAGUGAGUAGUUAGUUAGGGGUUGGAGUUAGCUCAACCUUUGUUAAUGGGUUGAUAAUGGUGGAAUAUUGGUUGACAGUUGUUUGAAUAGAGACUGAGUAGAAGGGUUGCUCCGUCUAUUGCUUGAAGGUUGUCAUGGUUGCUUUUGGGAGGCCAACGAGGGUUGGAUCCCGAAGUAACCUAAACCCUUGCUCAAUAAAUGGAGUUGGGUGCAAGGGAUCAACGAGAGUUGAACCUUGCAAUCGCCCCUUCAACUAGGAGUUUUCCCCUUCGCCUAUGAGAAUAGGGGAGGAUUGACGGAUAGUGGACUUUUGUUGUCUGAUUCUCUUGUCUUUACUCAUAAGAGUGAGCAGGAUGAGAUUUUCGGAGGUGAUCCCAAGCCCGAUCCAGGAUCGGGUCACUCUUUGUAUUGUGUUCCACUUCUCUCUAAUCAAACCAAAGAAAUCAAAACCUCUACUGUAGGAUAGCAGUCACAAGUGGUUUAACUCCAUCCCAUUGCUUCUUUGUUUGUUACUUUCAUAGUUGUAGUAGUAGUCUUGCUCGUCACCAAUCUUCCAUAAAUGAUUCCCCAACACCUAAGGAGGCCCUAAGUCUCGCACUUGUCUCCUUGUGGAUCGACCCCCUACUUGCCACUACACUUGUGUAGUUUUAGUUAAGGGUGUUUAUAAAUUUUGUUUGAUUAGAAGCAUUAGCAACGACACUAAAAAUUCCUCUGUCAGGAACGCCUUGAAGAGUUACUCAGAUACGCAGGAGUUUAAGGCCAAAAGCUCUCGCGGGAAGAGUAACAGGCGCAAAGAGGACUCUAGUGCGCCACCUUUGCCUACCUAUCAUGGUGGCCCGUAUUCUGCCGCGCGAUUGCGCGAAAAUAUGGCUGAGGGAUCUGGCAACGUAGAGCCUACUCCUUAUAGGUUGUUGUUACAAACCAAAGGUGUACACGACACGGAUGGCCAGCGUGUCCUAAUCACCGAAUAAGAUAAAAAAAAUUGAAGAGCACUACCGCAAAUUAGAAGUGGAAGCAAUAAGAAUGGGCGAAGAACAUGAUCACUCUAAAAUUUAUGUAGAGGCGACCAUGGAGGUAAAUAAAAAUAAAAAAUCGCCUUAUUUUCCCGAGUAUUAUGGUUUUGGGUUCGCCAAUAAAUACUACUAUCCUAAUCUGUUUGAGAGUUGUUUCACCCCUCGAGAGGAGUGUGCUACUCAAGAUGAAAUGAGAGCGCAUUUCUUCGAGAUUCAGCAUCUUAUGCAUGAAUUUCGCAUAUUCAUGCAAGCUUAACUCGACGAGAACAACCCUACUAGAGAAGAUAUAAGAGAAAUGCAGGCGCGCUUACAAGCCCUCGAAGAAACUCACAGCCAACUACGGAAUGCAUUAUAUGGGGAAAGCAAUAAUGCAGGCUGUGGUUCGGGAGUAGGUAGUCGUCAAUGUUGGGGUGGUGAUAUGGGUAGUAGCCCAGGUGGAUCAGGUGGUUCUCGGGGAUCGCAUAAUAGCCGCGAUGGUGGUAGCCGCUCUAGUCG
Amaranthus tricolor (Joseph's coat) is the source of this 2079-nucleotide long non-coding RNA. RefSeq lists it as uncharacterized. The transcript is spliced from 3 exons. The record is from RefSeq and is a predicted model, not a curated record. Lineage: Eukaryota; Viridiplantae; Streptophyta; Magnoliopsida; Caryophyllales; Amaranthaceae.